AUGUGUGUUUUUAAUCUGCAUAUGAACACACAAACACAUACACACAUUAUUUCUUUGAAAAACUUUGCUAUUUCUGUGGCUCUUGAUAGUGCCUCCUUUGCAACUCAGCAGCUUGAUUUAGAGAAAACGAUAAGUCCAUUGAAGCUUAUUGUUUAUUCAUUUCUUUAACUGUUAAUUAUGAGUUCCCACAAUGCUCAGGUUCUUUUCUUAACCAGUUUUUUUUUUCCUUUUUUAAAAAUUUUUCUUAUUUUUUCUUACCCAGUUUUUAAACUAUUCCCAGCAUGUCCUGAUAUUAUAUUUAUUGAUGUUACAGAGAACAGAUACAGAAAUAUAAUGGAGAUAGCCUGGCUGACUGAACAUUGACCAAACACAGUCCAAGAUUAAUCAUCAACCUUAUUCUUUCAGAAAAUCCAUUUUAACACCCAUUUUUCAUCACCUGGAAUUGAUCAAGUACAGAAAUACUAACUCAUUCUCCAUUCUCAAAGGACCCUGAGUUGAUGGGAUUUCAAGAAACUACACUCUGGAUGUUGACUUAGGAAAACAGGGAUGAGAAGCACAAUAAAUUUGAUAGCAGUAGUCUCUUGGAAGAUGGUGUGUACUGGACCAAAUGCCGAGAAGAAUUGGAUCAUUUGACCUGAAAUGAAGUCAGUCCCAGCAGCUGUGAUCAUUGCAAUCUUGUUGCAGUCCUCCAAUCUAUUUUUCACACAACAGCAAGAACAAUAAAAA
Bubalus bubalis (water buffalo) is the source of this 726-nucleotide long non-coding RNA. RefSeq lists it as uncharacterized. NCBI's taxonomy places the organism in Eukaryota, Metazoa, Chordata, Mammalia, Artiodactyla, Bovidae. The transcript has 2 exons. The record is from RefSeq and is a predicted model, not a curated record.